This 465-nucleotide ribosomal RNA is filed under the name uncultured bacterium. RNAcentral's name for it is "partial 16S ribosomal RNA". It matches the Rfam family "Bacterial small subunit ribosomal RNA", at positions 338 to 795 of the family's 1533-position model. The record is from RNAcentral.
CCUACGGGUGGCAGCAGUGGGGAAUAUUGCGCAAUGGGCGAAAGCCUGACGCAGCGACGCCGCGUGAAGGAUGAAGGUCUUCGGAUCGUAAACCUCUGUCAGCAGGGAAGAACGGUCACUGUGCUAAUCAGCAGUGAAUUGACGGUACCUGCAAGGGAAGCACCGGCUAACUCCGUGCCAGCAGCCGCGGUAAUACGGAGGGUGCGUGCGUUAAUCGGAAUUACUGGGCGUAAAGCGCGCGUAGGCGGUAUGUCAAGUCAGGGGUGAAAUCCCCGGGCUCAACGUGGGAACUGCCUUUGAAACUGGUAAACUGGAGUGUGUGAGAGGAUAGCGGAAUUCCUGGUGUAGGGGUGAAAUGCGUAGAUAUCUGGAGGAACAUCAGUGGCGAAGGCGACUAUCUGGCACAUAACUGACGCUGAGGAGCGAAAGCGUGGGGAGCAAACAGGAUUAGAUACCCUUGUAGUC